RNAcentral lists this non-coding RNA (171 nucleotides) under human gut metagenome. The record is from RNAcentral.
UUUAGUUAUUUAGGUUCCUCAUAUUUUGAGGAUUAAAAGAGAAUCAUGUGAAAAUCAUGAGCGGACCGGCCACUGUAAUUGGGGAGUGACCUUUCAACAUACCACUGAGAAUAUUUCUUGGGAAGGAGAAAGAAUGCUUUGAUCCAUAAGUCAGGAGAACUGCCUAAGUAU